ACUACGGGUGGCAGCAGUGGGGGAUAUUGCACAAUGGGGGAAACCCUGAUGCAGCGACGCCGCGUGUGGGAAGACGGUCUUCUGGAUUGUAAACCACUGUCCCCAGGGACGAAAAUGACGGUACCUGGGGAGGAAGCUCCGGCUAACUACGUGCCAGCAGCCGCGGUAAUACGUAGGGAGCAAGCGUUGACCGGAAUUACUGGGUGUAAAGAGAGCGUAGGCGGGGAUGCAAGUUGGGUGUCAAAACUACCGGCUGAACCGAUAGUCGCACACAAAAAUGCAGGACUUGAGUUAAGUAGAGGCAGGCGGAAGUCCUAGUGUAGCGGUGAAAUGCGUAGAUAUUAGGAGGAACACCAGUGGCGAAGGCGGCCUGCUGGGCUUUUACUGACGCUGAGGCUCGAAAGUGUGGGGAGCAAACAGGAUUAGAUACCCCUGUAGUC
This 440-nucleotide ribosomal RNA is filed under the name uncultured bacterium. RNAcentral describes it as "partial 16S ribosomal RNA". It matches the Rfam family "Bacterial small subunit ribosomal RNA", at positions 338 to 795 of the family's 1533-position model. The record is from RNAcentral.